This 500-nucleotide ribosomal RNA is filed under the name uncultured bacterium. Its description in RNAcentral is "partial 16S ribosomal RNA". It matches the Rfam family "Bacterial small subunit ribosomal RNA", at positions 30 to 523 of the family's 1533-position model. The record is from RNAcentral.
AUUGAACGCUGGCGGCAUGCUUUACACAUGCAAGUCGAACGGUAACAGGGUGCUUGCACCGCUGACGAGUGGCGAACGGGUGAGUAAUGCGUCGGAACGUGCCGAGUAGUGGGGGAUAACGCAGCGAAAGUUGUGCUAAUACCGCAUACGUACUGAGGUAGAAAGUGGGGGACCUUCGGGCCUCACGCUAUUCGAGCGGCCGACGUCUGAUUAGCUAGUAGGUGAGGUAAAGGCUCACCUAGGCGACGAUCAGUAGCGGGUCUGAGAGGAUGAUCCGCCACACUGGGACUGAGACACGGCCCAGACUCCUACGGGAGGCAGCAGUGGGGAAUUUUGGACAAUGGGCGAAAGCCUGAUACAGCCAUGCCGCGUGUCUGAAGAAGGUCUUCGGGUUGUAAAGGACUUUUGUCAGGGAGGAAAUCCCUAGUGCUAAUAACACUGGGGGAUGACAGUACCUGAAGAAUAAGCACCGGCUAACUACGUGCCAGCAGCCGCAGUAA